UUUUUGGAGGGUAAAANUUGUAACAAGGUUUCCGUAGGUGAACCUGCGGAAGGAUCAUUA
RNAcentral lists this ribosomal RNA (60 nucleotides) under Saprolegnia salmonis. RNAcentral describes it as "partial 18S ribosomal RNA". It matches the Rfam family "Eukaryotic small subunit ribosomal RNA", at positions 1770 to 1831 of the family's 1831-position model. The record is from RNAcentral. Lineage: Eukaryota; Oomycota; Saprolegniomycetes; Saprolegniales; Saprolegniaceae.